GCAUGUGCUGUGAGCUCGAUGAGUAGGGCGGGACACGUGGUAUCCUGUCUGAAUAUGGGGGGACCAUCCUCCAAGGCUAAAUACUCCUGACUGACCGAUAGUGAACCAGUACCGUGAGGGAAAGGCGAAAAGAACCCCGGCGAGGGGAGUGAAAAAGAACCUGAAACCGUGUACGUACAAGCAGUGGGAGCACCCUUUGGGGUGUGACUGCGUACCUUUUGUAUAAUGGGUCAGCGACUUAUAUUCUGUAGCAAGGUUAACCGUAUAGGGGAGCCGGAGGGAAACCGAGUCUUAACCGGGCGUUAAGUUGCAGGGUAUAGACCCGAAACCCGGUGAUCUAGCCAUGGGCAGGUUGAAGGUUGGGUAACACUAACUGGAGGACCGAACCGACUAAUGUUGAAAAAUUAGCGGAUGACCUGUGGCUGGGGGUGAAAGGCCAAUCAAACCGGGAGAUAGCUGGUUCUCCCCGAAAGCUAUUUAGGUAGCGCCUCGUGAAUUCAUCUCCGGGGGUAGAGCACUGUUUCGGCUAGGGGGCCAUCCCGGCUUACCAACCCGAUGCAAACUGCGAAUACCGGAGAAUGUUAUCACGGGAGACACACGGCGGGUGCUAACGUCCGUCGUGAAGAGGGAAACAACCCAGACCGCCAGCUAAGGUCCCAAAGUCAUGGUUAAGUGGGAAACGAUGUGGGAAGGCCCAGACAGCCAGGAUGUUGGCUUAGAAGCAGCCAUCAUUUAAAGAAAGCGUAAUAGCUCACUGGUCGAGUCGGCCUGCGCGGAAGAUGUAACGGGGCUAAACCAUGCACCGAAGCUGCGGCAGCGACGCUGAUGCGUUGUUGGGUAGGGGAGCGUUCUGUAAGCCUGCGAAGGUGGCCUGUGAGGGUUGCUGGAGGUAUCAGAAGUGCGAAUGCUGACAUAAGUAACGAUAAAGCGGGUGAAAAGCCCGCUCGCCGGAAGACCAAGGGUUCCUGUCCAACGUUAAUCGGGGCAGGGUGAGUCGACCCCUAAGGCGAGGCCGAAAGGCGUAGUCGAUGGGAAACGGGUUAAUAUUCCCGUACUUGGUGUUACUGCGAAGGGGGGACGGAGAAGGCUAUGUUGGCCGGGCGACGGUU
Molecule: ribosomal RNA, 1109 nt
Filed under: Salmonella enterica
Lineage: Bacteria; Pseudomonadati; Pseudomonadota; Gammaproteobacteria; Enterobacterales; Enterobacteriaceae
Description: partial 23S ribosomal RNA
Rfam family: Bacterial large subunit ribosomal RNA
Source: RNAcentral